Molecule: non-coding RNA, 87 nt
Organism: Sporormia fimetaria CBS 119925
Lineage: Eukaryota; Fungi; Ascomycota; Dothideomycetes; Pleosporales; Sporormiaceae
Source: the annotation of a GenBank genome assembly
UCCUCCGUGGCGCAAUUGGCUAGCGCGUCUGACUGUUACCACAUGGUAGUAAUCAGGAGGUUAUAAGUUCGAGCCUUAUCGGGGGAG